GUCGAACGGACACUUCGGUGUUAGUGGCGGACGGGUGAGUAACGCGUAAGAAUCUGCCCCCAAGUUCGGGAUAACGGAGGGAAACCACCGCUAAUACCGGAUGAAACCGAGAGGUCAAAGGUUUACUGCUUGGGGAUGAGCUUGCGUCCGAUUAGCUAGUUGGAGUGGUAAAAGCACACCAAGGCGACAAUCGGUAGCGGGUUUGAGAGGAUGACCCGCCACACUGGGGCUGAGACACGGCCCAGACUCCUACGGGAGGCAGCAGUGGGGAAUUUUCCGCAAUGGGGGCAACCCUGACGGAGCAAUACCGCGUGAGGGACGAAGGUCUGUGGAUUGUAAACCUCUUUUCUUUGGGACGAUAAUGACGGUACCAGAGGAAUCAGCAUCGGCUAACUCCGUGCCAGCAGCCGCGGUAAGACGGAGGAUGCAAGCGUUAUCCGGAAUUAUUGGGCGUAAAGGGUGCGUAGGUGGUCAGACAAGUCCCAUGUCAAAGCAUGGUGCUUAACGCCAUAAAGGCGUGGGAAACUGUGUGACUAGAGUACAGCAGGGGCAGGAGGAAUUCCCGGUGUAGCGGUGAAAUGCGUA
This 585-nucleotide ribosomal RNA is filed under the name uncultured bacterium. Its description in RNAcentral is "bacterial SSU rRNA". It matches the Rfam family "Bacterial small subunit ribosomal RNA", at positions 61 to 692 of the family's 1533-position model. The record is from RNAcentral.